This 457-nucleotide ribosomal RNA is filed under the name Petrarctus demani. Its description in RNAcentral is "partial 16S ribosomal RNA". The stretch from base 304 to 457 matches the Rfam family "Bacterial large subunit ribosomal RNA", at positions 2473 to 2625 of the family's 2925-position model. Lineage: Eukaryota; Metazoa; Arthropoda; Malacostraca; Decapoda; Scyllaridae. The record is from RNAcentral.
GUCUUUGUGGGAGUUCAUAUAAAGUGUAGCCUGCCCAAUGAUAUGAAAUUUAAUGGCCAUGGUAUUUUGACCGUGCAAAGGUAGCAUAAUAAUUAGUCUUUUAAUUGAAGGCAGGAAAUAAAGGUUGAACAAAAUCUUUAUAUUUGGGUUUAUCAAACAAAACAAUUGAAUUAUUUUUAUUUGAUAGACAUAAGUAUUUUGUUGGGGCGACAAGAAUAUAAAUUGUAACUGUUUUAUAAACGUGGUUAAGGAUGUUUAAUUAAGUGAUCCAUUAGAAAAGAUGUUAGUUUAAGUUACUUUAGGGAUAAGAGCGUAAUUUUUUUUGAGAGUUCAUAUUGAAAAGAAAGUUUGUGACCUCAAUGUUGAAUUAAAGACCCUUCAUGGAUGCAGAAAUUAUGAGAAGGAGGUCCUGUUCGACCUUUAAAUCUUUACAUGAUUGAGGUCAGACCAGCAUAAG